This 20-nucleotide non-coding RNA is filed under the name Arabidopsis thaliana (thale cress). Lineage: Eukaryota; Viridiplantae; Streptophyta; Magnoliopsida; Brassicales; Brassicaceae. The record is from RNAcentral.
UCCAUCCUGAGUUUCAUUGG